CAGUGGUUGGCCUGACUGAGGGGAGGGACUGGGAACGGGGAAAUGUAAGAAAAUGCAGCUUGAAAAGGCAGCGUGUGAAGGAGACCUGCCCGGUACACGGCAGCGUGGACCCCCAAAAAGACUCGGACCAGCGCGGCGACCGUGUCGUUCACUCCGGAAGCGCCUCCCACCGGCCCGCACUUCGCACGCCGGUGCCCCGCCCACCGCGCCAGCUGCAGGCCAGCACAUCUCCUAUAGAAAGAAAAGCCUCCCAUUGUGAGUUCAGCCAGCUUCAAGCAGGACCUUCCAACCCUGGGGCCCCCCCAAACUGCCUUUCCCAGGUUCCAGCCAAUAUGGUGGUAUAAGGAAGGGCCUGAGAAUCUCAGAGGAAACUUCAAGGCAUAGGUGGCACAUAUGAGUCUGAAUCAGCCUCAUCACCAGAGAUCUGGGGAAAGUAAGAAUCCAGGAAGCUGAGGCACAAAGCACUCACCCUUGGAGGAGGAAGGUCCACAGAAGCAGCAAGGUGGAGAUACAAUUGGCAAUGAUCCACAUCAUUAGGUGGGAGUGACUUGAAGGCAGAGACUGUGUUCCUACUGCCCAGCACAAAGCUCAGCAAAUGCUUAUCAAUGGAAUGAACUCUGCCCUUUUUGAGUGCCCCUGCAGGUGGCUGCCUCUUCCCAGAAGCUGUCCUCACCUCUAGGAACCAGGCCCCAGCAUUGAGUCUCUUCAGUUCAGCCCAGGAGAAGUCACUGCUGUGGGCUGUGAUUCGGGCUGGAAACACAGAGGCUACAUCCGUGGUCCUGCUCAGCAAGAAACUUGAAAUCCAGAGAAGUCAUUAAAGAACCCUUCUGGCUGCAACCUCAAAGCAUGUCCCAAGCCAGACUGGGGUAGAGAUGAUGACUCCAACAUCAGUGACCCUCUUCUUCAAUAGGGGAGCAGCCAGAGAAGAAGCUAGUAUUGCUGGCCAGAGCUCGUUUCUUUUUCUUCCCUGGAGCUUUACUUUCUUGGAAUUCUGUUGCUACAUGUUUCAACUCUGGGAAGUCAAAGGAGGAGGAAGCUGGAGCAGUCUUCUUUAACAGCACCUGCUCCACAUCACACAUCUCUUUCAGUAUCUAGGAAGGACAGAGACAGGUAUGAAUAGACCCUGAAAAGCGCAGAAGCUCAACCCGGCCGAGCCACUACAAAUGCUCAACACACUCCCAAUAGUAUGAGGUGUCCCUAACAUUGCUCUAUGGAAAAAAAAAAAGACCCUAGUCUAUGCCUGAUUCCCAG
Molecule: long non-coding RNA, 1251 nt
Organism: Cynocephalus volans (Philippine flying lemur)
Lineage: Eukaryota; Metazoa; Chordata; Mammalia; Dermoptera; Cynocephalidae
Exons: 4
Source: RefSeq, a predicted model, not a curated record